This is a non-coding RNA of Multifurca ochricompacta, 77 nucleotides long. The record is from the annotation of a GenBank genome assembly. Lineage: Eukaryota; Fungi; Basidiomycota; Agaricomycetes; Russulales; Russulaceae.
GGCUGGGUGGCACAAUGGUUAGAGCACUGGACUGAGCUUGUACCCAGAGGUCUUGGGUUCAAUCACAGAUGUUGCCA